UAUGGACCAAAGCGUUUAUCGAGAAUUCCUGGUGUUAAAGGGAGGCUAGACGGCAGACAAAGUCUGAUGUGGAAAGCCCGGGGCUCCACCCCCGUUAGUGCAUUGGAAACUGUUCAGCUUUGAGUGUCGGAGGGGUAGGCCGAAUUCCUAGUGUAGCCGGUAAAAUGCGUAGAUAUUAGGAGGGACCCCGGAGGCGAAGGCGGCUUACUGGACGACCACUGACGUUGAGGCUCGAAGGCGUGGGGAGCAAACAGG
Molecule: ribosomal RNA, 255 nt
Filed under: uncultured Actinomyces sp.
Lineage: Bacteria; Bacillati; Actinomycetota; Actinomycetes; Actinomycetales; Actinomycetaceae
Description: partial 16S ribosomal RNA
Rfam family: Bacterial small subunit ribosomal RNA
Source: RNAcentral